GGUUGGGGCUCAGUGGUAGAGCGCGCGCCUUGCACGUGUGAGACACUGGGUUCUAUCCUCAGCACCA
RNAcentral lists this transfer RNA (67 nucleotides) under Marmota monax (woodchuck). Its description in RNAcentral is "tRNA.Ala". It matches the Rfam family "tRNA". Rfam says of the family: Transfer RNA (tRNA) molecules are approximately 80 nucleotides in length. Their secondary structure includes four short double-helical elements and three loops (D, anti-codon, and T loops). Lineage: Eukaryota; Metazoa; Chordata; Mammalia; Rodentia; Sciuridae. The record is from RNAcentral.